This is a small nucleolar RNA of Limanda limanda (common dab), 98 nucleotides long. RefSeq annotates it as small nucleolar RNA SNORA17. NCBI's taxonomy places the organism in Eukaryota, Metazoa, Chordata, Actinopteri, Pleuronectiformes, Pleuronectidae. The transcript has a single exon. The record is from RefSeq and is a predicted model, not a curated record.
CCUGUCCCUUGAGACGUUUCAGCUCAACUGCUAAAGUGUUGCAGCUGUGUCAACGGGCGGCAGAGAGCGACUUCACGGAGGAAUCUGAGUCGUACACU